Pelobates cultripes (western spadefoot toad) is the source of this 304-nucleotide non-coding RNA. Lineage: Eukaryota; Metazoa; Chordata; Amphibia; Anura; Pelobatidae. The record is from the annotation of a GenBank genome assembly.
GCCAUAUACACCCCCACCUUGUCAUAAUAAAAAGAAAAGGUUUUUUUUACAGUAAGAACAAUAAGGAUAUGGGAUUCUCUGCCUGAAGAGAUGGUUUUGUCAGAGUUCAUACAGAUGUUUAAACUGAAAUUGGAUAAAUAGUUACAAAAACAUAACAUACAGGGAUAUAAUUUCUAAUUAGUGUGGUAAUAGCUGCUUGAUCCAAGGAGACAUCUGACUGCUAUUUUGGGGUCAAGAAGGAAUUUUUUCCUAGUUUGUGGCAAAAUUGGAAGCGCUUCAGACCAGGUUUUUUGCCUUGUUUGGG